UUAAUUAAAGCCAAAAAGAGGCAUAUCACUGUUAAUGAUACCAUUGAGUAAUCCUCUAAUUAAA
This 64-nucleotide transfer RNA is filed under the name Eurysternus foedus. RNAcentral's name for it is "tRNA-Asn". The record is from RNAcentral. Lineage: Eukaryota; Metazoa; Arthropoda; Insecta; Coleoptera; Scarabaeidae.